UACGUAUGGGGCGAGCGUUGUUCGGAGUUAUUGGGCGUAAAGGGCGUGUAGGCGGCUCAUCAAGUCUGGUGUGAAAUCGCAGGGCUCAACCCUGCAUAUGCGCUGGAAACUGGUGGGCUUGAGUUCUGGAGGGGAAGCUGGAAUUCCAGGUGUAGGGGUGAAAUCUGUAGAUAUCUGGAAGAACACCGGUGGCGAAGGCGAGCUUCUAUCCGCGGACUGACGCUGAGGCGCGAAAGCGUGGGAGC
RNAcentral lists this ribosomal RNA (245 nucleotides) under uncultured bacterium. RNAcentral's name for it is "partial 16S ribosomal RNA". It matches the Rfam family "Bacterial small subunit ribosomal RNA", at positions 524 to 769 of the family's 1533-position model. The record is from RNAcentral.